CAGUUACUGUAUAAGGAAAGUCCAUUCGUGAGUGCUGGCUGAACUUAAUUUUAAAGUGCAUUAGCCAUAAAAGGGAAGCCUCAAGACUCAAGAAGGACCAAGUGAACUACAUGAAUGGUUGUCUCAAGGAGCAUGGGAUUCUUGUGGAGGGUGACGAGGCUAUUCUGACACUGGCCCUUGUGUGCAUUCGCUUCAGAGACCUUGUGACGGGGGAAGCCUUAAGAAGACAAGCCCAUUUUCUUUGGCUUGACAGAUAUGUAGGUCGAGGAAGAAGAGGGAAACUCGACACCCAGCCAGGCUUCUGCAGCGAGUUCUGCCAAAUCUGUGCUGACCUUCUUUGAGUGUUGUGUGCAUGUAGUGCAAUAGAUGCAAACUCCUCACCUUUCAGUGACAACUCACUUUUUUGAGGUUAAAAUGGGUCCCCUAUGAGAUUUGCAUGGAUCC
Long non-coding RNA from Carassius carassius (crucian carp), 444 nucleotides. RefSeq lists it as uncharacterized. The transcript has 4 exons. The record is from RefSeq and is a predicted model, not a curated record. Lineage: Eukaryota; Metazoa; Chordata; Actinopteri; Cypriniformes; Cyprinidae.